CAGCAGCCACGGGAAUACGUAGGUGGCAAGCGUUAUCCGGAAUUAUUGGGCGUAAAGGGCUCGCAGGCGGUUUCUUAAGUCUGAUGUGAAAGCCCCCGGCUCAACCGGGGAGGGUCAUUGGAAACUGGGAAACUUGAGUGCAGAAGAGGAGAGUGGAAUUCCACGUGUAGCGGUGAAAUGCGUAGAGAUGUGGAGGAACACCAGUGGCGAAGGCGACUCUCUGGUCUGUAACUGACGCUGAGGAGCGAAAGCGUGGGGAGCGAACAGGAUUAGAUACCCGCGUAGUCCCUGUCUCUUAUAC
RNAcentral lists this ribosomal RNA (301 nucleotides) under uncultured bacterium. Its description in RNAcentral is "partial 16S ribosomal RNA". It matches the Rfam family "Bacterial small subunit ribosomal RNA", at positions 509 to 807 of the family's 1533-position model. The record is from RNAcentral.